RNAcentral lists this transfer RNA (99 nucleotides) under Terriglobia bacterium. Its description in RNAcentral is "tRNA-Asn". It matches the Rfam family "tRNA". Rfam says of the family: Transfer RNA (tRNA) molecules are approximately 80 nucleotides in length. Their secondary structure includes four short double-helical elements and three loops (D, anti-codon, and T loops). The record is from RNAcentral. Lineage: Bacteria; Pseudomonadati; Acidobacteriota; Terriglobia.
GGGGGCGUGGCACAACCCGGUAACUGCCCCGGACUGUUAAUCCGAGGGGCUGCGUGCAUCACCACGCGGCUGAGGGUUCAAAUCCCUUCGCCCCCGCCA